GCCUGGAGCGCAUGCGCAGCCCUGCGCCCCUAGGCUCAGGGCGCAGGCGCGGCCCUCCUGGGAAGCGACCGCGGGUCGUAGGGGGCGGCCGCGCGCACGCAGGGGGCGUGGCUACGCGACGUGUUCCGGCUCUGAACGCUGCGCCCGUCCGAACGGGUGUAGCCACCUUCUGCCCUGCGGGUGGCACUUGGACUCUGGCUCCGGGAGGGGACCGGUCCGCAGUCUCCAGCCGCAGAUCCGUGGACCCUCUUCACAGACGCUUCGCGCAGCCUCAGGAUCUGCUAACCUGCCUGUCCAGAAGCCAGAUCCAGUUCGACCAGGGUGUCCAGAACCCCCAGAAGACAGAGGAGGAGAUUUCUGAGAUGGAGGUGCCUGCACCCCCAGCCAGUAUGGCAGCCUCCCCACUCCCACCGCCGGACCCCCAGUUUGUCCUCCGUGGUACCCAGUCGGCGGUGCAUGCGCUGCAUUUCUUCGGAGGAGCCCAAGGACAGGGAUACCCACUCCUCCUCUCAGGGUCCCUGAGUGGGCUGGUACACAUCUGGAGCCUGCAGACACGGAGGGCAGUUGCAACCCUGGAUGGCCACGGGGGCCAGUGUGUGACCUGGCUGCAGACACUGCCCCAAGGGCACCAGCUGCUCAGUCAGGGCCGGGACCUGAAGCUGUGCCUGUGGGACCUGGCAGAGGGCAGGAACGCCGUCGUGGACUCUGUGGCCCUAGAGAGCAUGGGCUUCUGCAGGAGCUCUGUCCUCGCUGGGACUCAGGAGCGCUGGAUGCUGGCUAUGCCGGGGAGAGGUAGUGAUGAGGUUCAGAUUCUGGAGAUGCCAUCCAAGACGUCAGUGUGCACCCUGAAGCCGGAGGCAGAUGCCAAGCCAGGCAUGCCCAUGUGCCUGGAGCUGUGGCAGGCUGACUCCAAUCCCCGCCCACUCCUCCUGGCCGGCUAUGAGGACGGAUCGGUGGCCCUGUGGGACGUCUCUGAGCGGAAGGUGUGCAGCCGCGUCGCCUGCCACACGGAGCCCGUCAUGGGCUUUGACUUUGACUCCCAGAAGACCAGGGGCGUCUCGGGCUCCGCGGAGAAGGCGCUGGCUGUCUGGAGCCUGGAUGAGCAGCAGGCCCUGCAGGUGUGCAGAACUCAUGAACUCACGAAUCCUGGGAUCGCUGAUGUCAAGAUCCGGCCAGACCGCAAGAUCCUGGCCACUGCGGGCUGGGACCACCGGGUCCGAGUGUUUCACUGGCGGACGAUGAAGCCACUGGCUGUACUACGCUUCCACGGUGCCACCGUCCACUGUGUGGCCUUUGCCACAGAUGGCUUGCUGGCCGCAGGAUCUGGGGAUCAGCGGAUCAGCAUCUGGUCCCUCUACCCGACCCACAGUGACAUGUCUGCUCCCUUGUUGGGCCACGCAGAGGGCAGGGAGGUGGGUGCCCAUGCUGUGGCCUGACCCAGGCGUGUGGAACCUCAGGACCCCUGCAACAGCCAGCCGCAGUUCCCCUCCUCCAGUUACAAGAGGUCGGCUGGAGCCACUGCCACAGAACGAGGAUCUCGAAACGCAGUGGAGUCACUGGGUCUCCGAGUGGCAAGGCCUAGCAGUGGCCUUAACUGCCCAAGAGGGAAUAGACGUGGUUGGGUGGUGAGCAGCCACAGACACCAGCAGCCAGACUGGCAGAGAUGCGGGCGUGGGUUGGUGGCCUUGGGGCCCUAGGAGUGCAAGUGACAGCCCGAUCAGGUUUAGCUUGAGUGGAAGUAUUCUGGAUUGAGCCAAUAGAUACGUGACCCAGGCCACCAAAAGAGUCACAACCCCUUCAGUCACCACCCAGGCCCUUUGAGGAAAGACCCCACCACACUGCAGACAACGUAUACUGCUGAUCUUCUGCCCAGCCUCUCCAGGGACAUGGCCACUCCCUAGGGGACAGUAUACCGUUGGAGCUCCCAGAAGGCCCAUCCUGGGGACUGGCCUACUACCCACAUGGACCCCAUUGGCUGGAGGUGCUGGUGAGUGUCCUCCAACACCCCUGGGAGGGGCCACGCUGGCCCUUAGUAUCCUGUGGCCACAUAACUGGAUGUUGGGAGGACACAUCCAGAAGGAUCUGCGCACGACAAAUGUCAGAAGGAAGGGCUUUGUUUAGGCUGCAGGCUCUCGAACCUCAUGGAUGUGAGGAAAACUGCCAAGUCAGCCAUAUUUGGGGUGCUCCUCACAGGGAGGCUGUAGGGUCAGAGAGAGUGAAGAGGGGCCUCACCAAGCCAGAGCCCCGCAUGGCUCCCCCAAGAGGCCACGUGCUGAGGGUGUUCUGGAACCCGGCUGUAGUUGGCUCAGUCCCUUUUCUCAUCUUCCUCUUCUCUCUGUUGACCCCACCAAAGUUAGUUGGGGUGCUGGUUGUGGGGGCUUAUUUUGAAAGGUGAGCCUCUGCAAAUCCCAUCUGUGGCGGGGCAGCCACGGGCUGGUGCCCAACGGCAAAGGAUGGUCUGAAGAGUCUCCGAGCAUCCCUGGCCUCCUUGUUAGAGCACAGCUGUGAGCACGGAGUGAGUGGUGACAACAUGCAGUGCUCGAGAGCACUUUCUGAAGAGUGUGCUGUGCUGCACGGAGGGGGAGGGGCACACCUGUCUGCCUGUGGGGCGGGAGGGGAGAUGUGAGUCUCCUCAGUUACUUUGCACGCCCUUCCAGCAGCCCUGCCACAACCCACUGCCGAGGCUGGGAGGCCCCUGUGGGGGUGCCAGCCCCCUGCGUCAGCUCUGACUCCGAGGCGCUGGGCACGGGUCUGGUGACACCUCGAGAGGCUUUGAAACCCAAUGGCUGAGAAAGUGGUGCCCCCACCCCUGCGUAGGCCUGUGUCAUCAGCUCAUCAAGAAUCUUGGUGACUAACCCUCUGGUAGAAUCACCACAUUUACAAAAACAGCCACAGAGGUGUGUGUUCCAGACAAAGGGACAGGGCACUGCAAGUCGGCGUGAGAUUUAUUAAACCCAGAGAUGCUUCCAGAAUGUCUGAGGUGAGACUUUGGGUGCCUUGCCCCUGGAGAUGGUAGGGAGGUGGUGUUGGCAGACGCGGACCCAGAGUCCCUACCUGGCCCUCACCUUCAUGUUGAAGGCACAAGCAGAGAUGUGUGGAGGAUCACAAGUGAAUGACUCCUUACAGAGGUCAUGUGCUGGUGAGCAGUGUCUCAGGGACAUCUUGUGGCCAAAUCGUGGCGUACGGGGUGCCAAAUUGGGCCAGCAGAGCCUUACUAGUCCUGUGUGCCUGAUGGGGCUGUGUGGCUAAGGCAAGCAGUUUCCAAGGCCAUGCAGGCCUUCUGGAUGUCGUGUGAAAAGACUGGUGGCCAGUAUUUGGAUCUGCUCAGCCGAGCCCCCCUGGAAUUGCAGCAGCACCUACUUCCUAGAAACACUACUGUGUGUUGGGAGCCCUCUUCUGUGCCCGCUGUGGGGCCCACAGUUUUGCACAACAUGGCCUCCAUCAGCAGGAUCUGAUUAGCAAAUCACCACAGACCUGACCAGUCUCAAACUCCCCGGGGCGUAAGGAGAAACAGGGGCCCGGCUCGGACACCCAGCCUGGGAAGGGUACUUCCUGUUUGCAAAGCUUCAGAUGGUUCUUGUCAUGUUCCCCAGGCUGAGUCAUUCCUCAGACCUGACCCAGUGUUGGGGGCUGGCUGUGCCGCGAGACUCAGGUGUGCAGGGGGGCUCUGCCAUCUUCCAAGAGCUGUGUGAGCCCCUUGCUGGAAGGGCUCAAGCCGAUCUCCCUGAGCUUCCAGGAUGGGCUGCAGAGUGGGCAGAGCACUGUGCCUGUGGCCGUCCCACAGUACAACCAGGUGCUCUACGAGGAGGAGCCUCUGUGUGGAUCCAAGGUUGCCCUUUACCAGAAGGAUGCAUGCACUCUCAGGGUCGGUCCCUUUGAUGUAAAUUUAGGGCCCUGAAUGUUCUGGGAUUGGCUUUUUUUUCCUUCGCGUGGAUGCUCAUAGUGGCUUUAUUCCUAAGAGUGCCAAACCAGAAACAACCCAAAUGGGUUGACAGGUGAAUGGACAGAGAAGCAAACCAUGGUAAAUACGUACGGUGUAGUCCCGCCAGCCAGGAAGAGGAGCCUGGAUGGAUCCGGAAGAACCGGGGUGAGGGGAAGCCAUAGUCUUGCCAAGGUCCUUACAGGCCAGAAAGCUCAGCGUAGCCCAGAUCUCCCGCAGGCCGUGUGAGGUGUCUGUGCAGGUGGGGCUCCAUGAGGUGAAGGCUGCUCUGGGCAUGGCCUCAGGCAGAGGUGGUAAGAGGGCCUCCCACACCCCCUAAUAGAGUUUUCUCCACUUUUCACUUCACCAUUAUUCAAAAAGUCCUGCUUUUCCUUAAAGAUCUUUCCAUAUGCCUCCUGCCCAUCAGUAAAACUUGUCCUUGGAAGUCCAGUUACUGCUGGUGUUCCUCAACCUGUUAAACAGACAAAAGAAUGAGAGCAGAGCUUGGGCCAGGCCUCCUGGCCUUCCCUUCAGGCCGUGUGGGAAUCCCCACUCCCUCCUGGUCAACCCUCUGCAGGCCAACAGCAAUCGCGGUUGCUGACAGGCGGCGUCUGCCUGUCCCCAUGGUACCUCGGGGGCUGGGCCAAGGGUGGGGAGGCAGCAUCUGAGCAUCUCAAGCAUCUCAGGCCACACAAGUCAGAUGCUUUCAGCAAGACCCCCACCCCCCACCCCAGGCCCAGCAGCUCCUCCGCACUCCCUGCCACUUCUGUCGGUGGCAGCUGGAUGGUUUUGCGAAAUCAGCCCUCGGAUUUUCUGCCCAGUUCCUAAGUGCCUUUCCUAGCUACUUGCGCUGUUCACUGAGCAACCUUUUUCGGGACUUACACUCAAGCCCCAUUUCAUUCAGGAGCCACUUGAAUUUAGCACAAUCCACAGUGGCCAAACCGUGGUGAUUCUGCAGCACUGACAUCGAUGUUAACAUCCAGGGCGAUGGGGAAGGCUGUGGCUCAGGUGCCUAGGGGGCAGGAAAUGCGCCAAGCAGAGACCUGAGGUUCCCCAGGUGAGUGAUGGGGGACCCAUUGGCCAAGCAUCACUCAUCAGGUGUCCUCCCCCUCAGCAAGAUGCUUUCUAGUCCAAACUAUCCAUGGAGAGAGGCUCACUAGUCUCGAAGAAUUCUUUGUUAAUACUCUUAGUGGAGGGGUGCCUGGGUGGCUCAGGCGGUUGAGCGUCUGCCUUCAGCUCAGGUCAUGAUGCCAGCGUCCUGG
Mustela erminea (ermine) is the source of this 5181-nucleotide RNA transcript. It is a transcript of the gene named G protein subunit beta 1 like, with no coding region annotated. Lineage: Eukaryota; Metazoa; Chordata; Mammalia; Carnivora; Mustelidae. The record is from RefSeq and is a predicted model, not a curated record. The transcript has 10 exons.